RNAcentral lists this ribosomal RNA (412 nucleotides) under uncultured archaeon. Its description in RNAcentral is "bacterial SSU rRNA". It matches the Rfam family "Archaeal small subunit ribosomal RNA", at positions 593 to 997 of the family's 1478-position model. The record is from RNAcentral.
UUGGAACCGGGAGAGGUAAGAGGGUACGUACAGGGGUAGGAGUGAAAUCUUGUAAUCCCCUGUGGGACCACCUGUGGCGAAGGCGUCUUACCAGAACGGGUUCGACGGUGAGGGACGAAAGCUGGGGGCACGAACCGGAUUAGGAUACCCGGGUAGUCCCAGCCGUAAACGAUGGCUCGCUAGGUGUCAGGCAUGGCGCGACCGUGUCUGGUGCCGCAGGGAAGCCGUGAAGCGAGCCACCUGGGAAGUACGGCCGCAAGGGCUGAAACUUAAAGGAAUUGGCGGGGGAGCACAACAACGGGUUGGAGCCUGCGGUUUAAUUGGACUCAACGCCGGACAACUCACCGGGGGCGACAGCAAUAUGUAGGCCAAGCUGAAGACUUUGCCUGAAUCGCUGAGGAGAGGUGCAUGG